UAUAUGUGUGUGUGUGUGUGAGUGUGUGCACGGGUCAGGUCCUGGAGCCGCGGCCUCUUUCCCGACGCGGGCAUGGCGAGGGUCACCGACGGUCUGCUGGACAAGUCCAGAUUUUGUGCUGGUGAUCGUACAGGCGCGUGCGCGGCCGCCUCCCUGCCACCGCCUCGCCUCUGCUCUCGACGGAAACGAACAGUGGAGCCAGUUGCCGGGGAGAGGCAGUCGGUCUCUGACGGGGAGCACAGUGUUCAGAAAGGUUACCGACUGAAAACAGACUGUGAAGGAACAAAGUGAAAAAUGAAUACUACUAGAGGAAGGGUCCGGCCAUCCCAGUGACUAAGAGAACCUGUCGGCGCGAAGGACACAGACUCGCGUGCUCCAGGAGUUGUGUUCGCUGCGUUGUUUCUGGUGGGUCGCCGCGCCGCUACCCACGUCGCCGCCCAGCCUCUCGGACUCUACCGUGACACGAGGAACAGCAUUCUUUCCACACACGCCCGACAGUAAGCCCCACCCUCGCCCGCACUUCUCUCACCGCUAAUAGAUGGCAGCCCCUCCGCCCGCCAACGAGCCGGAUCCAUUGCGGGAGGGGAGGUGUUGUCCGUCCGGGAAACGCACCUCGUCUGUCUGAAUCCAAAACAAUUACAGUCCAGGAUAUGAAUGAAAAAAGUGUUCUACAAAUGAUUUCCUUUUACUGAACGUUGUUGCGGUGGUGGUGGGUGUUUUGUUUGUUUGUUUGUUUAUGCUGGUUUUCUUUGCUCUUGAUAGUGUUUGUCUUUUGUUUUAUUCGUGUGUGGUGAGUUUUUAGUGUUUAUAAUUAAGUGACAUUGGAAAGAUAAAUGACGUGUUGUUCUUGUUUAUUUGUAUUCUGGAUGGAGAUAUUGAGUUUUAUUUUGGUUUUCUUUUAAUGAUGUUUAUAAUUGUGUGUUUAAUUUUUUGUUGAGGGUUUUAAGUGUUGAUAAUUACGUGACAUUCGAAAGCUAAAUGAUGUGUUCUUCAUAUUUAAUUAUUUUCUGCCUUGAGAUAUCGAUUUUUGUUUUGGAUUUCUUUCGUUGUUAUUCAUUUAUGUGUUUCUAAUUAUUUUUGUUGUGGUUUUAGUGUUGAUAAUUACAUGACAUUCGAAAGCUAAAUGACAUGUUCCUCUUGUUUAUUUGUAUUCUGGCUGGACAUAUUGGUUUCUUUUACUGAUGUUUAUGUUUCUGUGUUUAAUUUUUUGUUGAGGUUUAGUAUUGAUAAUCACGUGAUAUUGGAAAGCUAAAUGAUGUGUUGUUCUUGUAUAUUAAUUUUCUGCCUUGAGAUAUCGAUUUUUUUAGUUAUAUUUAUUUAUGCAUUUUUAUUAUUUGAUGUGGUUUUUAGUGUUGAUAAUUACGUGACAUUGGAAAGGUUAAUGACAUGUUGUUCUUGUUUAUUUGUUUUUCUUUUGCUGUUAUUUGUGUUUGUGUGUUUAAUUAUUUGUUGUUUUUUUUAGUAUUGAUAAUUAUGUGA
This is a long non-coding RNA of Eriocheir sinensis (Chinese mitten crab), 1479 nucleotides long. RefSeq lists it as uncharacterized. The record is from RefSeq and is a predicted model, not a curated record. Lineage: Eukaryota; Metazoa; Arthropoda; Malacostraca; Decapoda; Varunidae. The transcript has 3 exons.